RNAcentral lists this ribosomal RNA (253 nucleotides) under uncultured bacterium. RNAcentral describes it as "partial 16S ribosomal RNA". It matches the Rfam family "Bacterial small subunit ribosomal RNA", at positions 524 to 776 of the family's 1533-position model. The record is from RNAcentral.
UACGUAAGGUCCGAGCGUUGUCCGGAAUCAUUGGGCGUAAAGGGCACGCAGGCGGGCUUUUAAGUGAGAUGUGAAAUCCCCGGGCUUAACCUGGGAAUAGCAUUUCAGACUGGGAGUCUAGAGUACUUUAGGGAGGGGUAGAAUUCCACGUGUAGCGGUGAAAUGCGUAGAGAUGUGGAGGAAUACCGGUGGCGAAGGCGACUUACUGGGCUCAUUCUGACGCUGAGGAACGAAAGCGUGGGUAGCAAACAGG